Callithrix jacchus (white-tufted-ear marmoset) is the source of this 722-nucleotide non-coding RNA. The record is from RefSeq and is a predicted model, not a curated record. NCBI's taxonomy places the organism in Eukaryota, Metazoa, Chordata, Mammalia, Primates, Cebidae.
UUCCCCUGAGGCAGCCCACUGUUGUGCUUGUCAUAUCACUUGGGUGCCUGUAGACAUCUGUAUGCUUCUCCAGCUGCGUGGGAGACACACUUCACCUUGUGGCUCCUCCUUUCAAAGGUUGCAUGUGCUGUAUGGAGGAACAGUUGACUUUGCUGAUAGAGAACGUCUCAUUGCACCCCCUUUCCACACCAUCUGUCUGACCUGGACCCAUUCCAAACACUACGGCUUUGCUGGCAGAAUGGUCUUCCUGCUACAGAAGUUUUGUAAUCUGCUAAUUGACAGGGUGGGCUGAGGACAGAAAAAUCCUAAAGAUGGAAGUAUCAUUAAAAUCGUGCUGAUCCAGUUGAGGUUUGUGGUUGCCCUCAUCUUGCAAUUGUGCUUUAAAACUCAGUGUGAGCAACCCCCACUGAAGUGAGUACAGUUAUGCUUACUGAUCCAGACCUGAGUCCUUCAAAUGGGGUCCUCUGUGUGCAAAAGCUACAUGCACACGCUUCAGGUGGUGCACGAGUGUGGUAUAACAUCGUGCUUCGGGACUCCUGGGGCCCCUCUCUCAGUUGCAGCCCCCUCAACCUGCCUUUGAACAAUAAUCAGCAGAAAGAGGAGAAUGAAAGAGAAGAAAGAAUUUCUUCCAUACCUUUCAAAACUUCAAAGAAGUUGUUCCCAAUCUGUUUCUGAUGAUUCUUGUCUCAGUGCAAAGCAUGUAUAAAUAUCUGAAAUCUGCA